Molecule: long non-coding RNA, 1433 nt
Organism: Salvelinus fontinalis (brook trout)
Lineage: Eukaryota; Metazoa; Chordata; Actinopteri; Salmoniformes; Salmonidae
Exons: 6
Source: RefSeq, a predicted model, not a curated record
UCCGUGGUCCUCCUUACUUUUUGGCAUGCUGUAUAUAGUCCGGACUGAAACUAUAUUCAGGAGUCGUCUAAAAUAUCACCCUAUACCCUAUUUUUUUUUUACCAGGACCCAUAGUUAUAUUGUCAAAAGGCUCUGGUUAAUAGUAGUGCACUAAAUAGGGAAUAGGGUGCCAUUUAGGACUUAUUUGAUGACAUGACGAUUGCUAGUAAUUCCACUAUUAACAACAACAAACGAACAUGCUCCUCUGAAACCAAACCUUUUCUUGAGGUUUAAUUGAACAUUUUGGUACAUUAUGCAGACACGUAAAUACAAUGUGAUAUCAUACAAUAUAAACACAAUUCAAUUAUAAGAUCAGCCUAACUACAUGGACAGAUGUUUGGUGUCGUGUAGUAUUUCUUCAACUUAGAGAAAAUAAUCCUUUAUUGUUUAUUCAUAAAGAUCAUGAUCCCACCCUGGACCAGGAGGACCCAGUCCUUGUUCAGCCUGUCAAACUGCAGCCAAGGUAUUACCUUACCCAUGCUGGGAACAUGCUGGUGAGAGAGCUGUCAGUAUUAAAUACACAGAUUUUCAUGAUGGAGCAGCCUACUUUCAUCUGUUUCACUCCUGUAGGGAGGAUGGUAUGGGAGGAACUGUCUUCUCAAACUGAACAGCCAAAUAGUGAAGACUCUGGUUUUCCCUAUGAGAAGAUGCAGCUGGUUGGGAACUGGGGUUCGUUUCAUUUCCAUACCUGGAUAAUCCGUUAUGGACGAGUGCAGCAAAAUGAAGAGGACAUGCAUCACCUGUGCAUUGUGAGGGGAGUGGAGAAACAGCUGUGGUGGAGCAGAGUCAUUCAGGAAAGAAUCCUGGACCCAUGGGUGAGAGAUUCUCAACUGAUCUUUCAUCUCAAAUGCACCUGAUUUGUGUCAAAUGACACACAGAAUAUAGAGCUACUUAUAUUUCCUGAAUGAAAUGUAAUUUUCCCCUGUGUCUCUUUGAAAGGGUAUUGUCCAGGUGGUCCUCACCAACAAGGAGGUCACUGGUAUUAAAGUACAGUCAAACACUUUCAUAAAACAAAUGGAAAGUGGCAAAUGUCCAUUUACCUAUUUAAAUAAAUGUUGACAAAAUGAAAUGAUAGAUUUGAAUUUCUAUCCUCAUUUUUAGUUCCUUGGUAGAAGGAUCCAUGGACUCAGGUCUUGCCUCGUCAAGAGGAGGUCAGAGUUCACAUAUUAUGAGGACGCCCAUCAGGUGGAUAUCUCCACCACAGUGGAGGGGUUCCAGGAGAGGGGGGAUGACAUGAUGGUGUAUCAGUUCUCUACCUCUGAAAUUAUCACCACCCCUCAUGAGCCGUCCUCUGGCUCCUCUCACCAGUUCCCUCAGGAUUCUCCACCUCCCCCUCCGCCUCCCCCGUUCCCUUCCGAUUCCCCUCCACCUUACCACUUCACCCAGGACCAGGC